ACUCCCAAAGCUAGGAUCCUAAUUUAGACUAUUGUUUGCCGGGCUCUGCCU
This 51-nucleotide transfer RNA is filed under the name Tropheus sp. 931. RNAcentral's name for it is "transfer RNA-Thr". The record is from RNAcentral. RNAcentral also lists the same sequence under 6 other names. Lineage: Eukaryota; Metazoa; Chordata; Actinopteri; Cichliformes; Cichlidae.